UACGGGGGGGGCAAGCGUUGUUCGGAAUUACUGGGCGUAAAGGGCUCGUAGGCGGCCAACUAAGUCAGACGUGAAAUCCCUCGGCUUAACCGGGGAACUGCGUCUGAUACUGGAUGGCUUGAAUCCGGGAGAGGGAUGCGGAAUUCCAGGUGUAGAGGUGAAAUUCGUAGAUAUCGGGAGGAACACCAGUGGCGAAGGCGGCGAUCUGGGAAGAUACUGACGCUGAGGUGCGAAAGCGUGGGGAGCAAACAGG
RNAcentral lists this ribosomal RNA (253 nucleotides) under uncultured bacterium. RNAcentral's name for it is "partial 16S ribosomal RNA". It matches the Rfam family "Bacterial small subunit ribosomal RNA", at positions 524 to 776 of the family's 1533-position model. The record is from RNAcentral.